RNAcentral lists this small RNA (31 nucleotides) under Bombyx mori (domestic silkworm). RNAcentral describes it as "ovarian small RNA-25211". The record is from RNAcentral. Lineage: Eukaryota; Metazoa; Arthropoda; Insecta; Lepidoptera; Bombycidae.
UCACCUGGUCAGGCCCCCCGAUGUUGGGAAA